Molecule: long non-coding RNA, 342 nt
Organism: Biomphalaria glabrata
Lineage: Eukaryota; Metazoa; Mollusca; Gastropoda; Planorbidae
Exons: 3
Source: RefSeq, a predicted model, not a curated record
CUUGUUUCAGACUUUCAGACACGUGCCGUGUCCGAGUACAGAGACCACUAGUGAAUACAGUUUUAAUUUGACUUGGAACCUGGUGUUCAUCUUCUUUACUCAAGGUAGUGGAUGUCAAGCUGAAAGUGGUUGUCAUAUUGAAAUCAGGUACGCUACUCCGAUUGGUUCAAAUGGAAGCUCAGGAAGCAUUGGGUUGCAAGCCAAUCCGUAGAGCAAGGCUGCAGAUAAACCACAGAAGUCGGAAGCAGACAGCAUCACAGAGCUCAUAGUAUAGGUAGUCACGUGAAACAUGCGAAACACUAUAAUCAUCCUUGACCUUCGGAAUCAAAGACCUUUUUUUUU